GAUCCUAGCUCAGGACGAACGCUGGCGGCGUGCUUAACACAUGCAAGUCGAACGAAGAGCGGUGGAAGCUUGCUUCUAUCAAUCUUAGUGGCGAACGGGUGAGUAACGCGUAAUCAACCUGCCCUUCAGAGGGGGACAACAGUUGGAAACGACUGCUAAUACCGCAUACGAUCCAAUCUCGGCAUCGAGACUGGAUGAAAGGUGGCCUCUAUUUAUAAGCUAUCACUGAAGGAGGGGA
This 238-nucleotide ribosomal RNA is filed under the name uncultured bacterium. RNAcentral describes it as "partial 16S ribosomal RNA". It matches the Rfam family "Bacterial small subunit ribosomal RNA", at positions 15 to 230 of the family's 1533-position model. The record is from RNAcentral.